AGGCAGCAGUAAGGAAUAUUGGUCAAUGGACGCAAGUCUGAACCAGCCAUGCCGCGUGCAGGAUGAAGGCCCUCUGGGUUGUAAACUGCUUUUAUAGGGGACGAAAAAGGGACUUUCUAGUUCAACUGACGGUACCCUAGGAAUAAGCACCGGCUAACUCCGUGCCAGCAGCCGCGGUAAUACGGAGGGUGCAAGCGUUAUCCGGAUUUACUGGGUUUAAAGGGUGCGUAGGUGGGUCGGUAAGUCAGCGGUGAAAUCUUCGAGCUUAACUCGGAAACUGCCAUUGAUACUAUCGAUCUUGAAUCAUCUAGAGGUAAGCGGAAUAUGUCAUGUAGCGGUGAAAUGCUUAGAUAUGACAUAGAACACCAAUUGCGAAGGCAGCUUACUAUGGAUGUAUUGACACUGAGGCACGAAAGCGUGGGGAUCAAACAGGAUUAGAUACCCUGGUAG
Molecule: ribosomal RNA, 450 nt
Filed under: uncultured bacterium
Lineage: Bacteria
Description: bacterial SSU rRNA
Rfam family: Bacterial small subunit ribosomal RNA
Source: RNAcentral